UCUCCGUUGGUGAACCAGCGGAGGGAUCAUUACCGAGUUUACAACUCCCAAACCCAACGUGAACGUUACCAAACUGUUGCCUCGGCGGGGUCACGCCCCGGGUGCGUCGCAGCCCCGGAACCAGGCGCCCGCCGGAGGAACCAACCAAACUCUUUCUGUAGUCCCCUCGCGGACGUUAUUUCUUACAGCUCUGAGCAAAAAUUCAAAAUGAAUCAAAACUUUCAACAACGGAUCUCUUGGUUCUG
This 245-nucleotide unclassified non-coding RNA is filed under the name plant metagenome. RNAcentral describes it as "partial contains small subunit ribosomal RNA, internal transcribed spacer 1, and 5.8S ribosomal RNA". The record is from RNAcentral.